RNAcentral lists this ribosomal RNA (755 nucleotides) under uncultured bacterium. Its description in RNAcentral is "bacterial LSU rRNA". It matches the Rfam family "Bacterial large subunit ribosomal RNA", at positions 168 to 973 of the family's 2925-position model. The record is from RNAcentral.
UAGGUUUAAGAGACAACCUGGAGAACUGAAACAUCUAAGUAACCAGAGGAAAAGAAAUCAAUUGAGAUUCCGUUAGUAGUGGCGAGCGAACGCGGAGUAGGCCAGUAGUUUUGUUAGAAAAAUUUGAAUAGUUUGGAAAUGCUAACCAUAGAGGGUGAUAGUCCCGUAUGGGUAAUGUCUAACAAAAUUCUUGAGUAAAGCGGGACACGAGAAAUCCUGCUCGAAUAUAGGGGGACCACCCUCUAAGCCUAAAUACUCUUCAGUGACCGAUAGUGAACUAGUACCGUGAGGGAAAGGUGAAAAGAACCCCUAUUAGGGGAGUGAAAUAGAACCUGAAACUGCAUGCCUACAAUCAGUCCGAGCCCUUUUUAGGGUGAGGGCGUACCUUUUGUAUAAUGGGUCAGUGACUUAAUUUAUUAAGCAAGCUUAAGCCAUCUAGGUGUAGGCGCAGCGAAAGCAAGUCUUAAUAGGGCGAUUAGUUUAAUGAAUUAGACCCGAAAACGAAUGAGCUUACCAUGAGCAGGUUGAAAGUUGGGUAACACCAACCGGAGGACCGAACCAGUUGACGUUGAAAAGUCUUUGGAUGACUUGUGGUAAGGGGUGAAAGGCCAACCAAAUUCGUAGAUAGCUGGUUUUCCGCGAAAACUAUUUAGGUAGUGCGUCGAAUAAAUAGAUGUUUAGAGGUAGAGCACUAAAUGGGCUAGGGGGAAGAGAUUCUUACCAAACCUAAUAAAACUCCGAAUGCUAGACAUUGU